Molecule: ribosomal RNA, 139 nt
Filed under: Hydrellia tritici
Lineage: Eukaryota; Metazoa; Arthropoda; Insecta; Diptera; Ephydridae
Description: partial 16S ribosomal RNA
Source: RNAcentral
UAAAUUUUAUUUAUUAACUUUUAUCUACGGUUUAUUUUUAAAUUAUUAAAAAUAAGUUAUAUAACUUAAUAGUUUUAGUAUUUAUAUAAAGAAAAAAUCUUUUAAUAAUAGUUUAUCAGCAUUGUAAAAGAAAAUUGAA